Molecule: ribosomal RNA, 424 nt
Filed under: uncultured bacterium
Lineage: Bacteria
Description: partial 16S ribosomal RNA
Rfam family: Bacterial small subunit ribosomal RNA
Source: RNAcentral
GAAUAUUGGACAAUGGGGGGAACCCUGAUCCAGCCAUGCCGCGUGGGGGAAGAAGGCCUUUUGGUGGUAAAGCACUUUAAGCGAGGAGGAGGCUACCCUAGUGACAAACUAGAGAUAGGGGACGGUACUGGCAGAAGAAGCACCGGCUAACUGUGUGCCAGCCGCCGCGGUAAUACAGAGGGUGCUAGCGUUCAUCGGAUUUACUGGGCGUAAAGCGCGCGUAGUUGGCCAAUUAAGUCGAAUGUGAAAUCCCCGAGCUUAACUUGGGACUUGCAUUCGAUACUGGUUGGCUAGAGUAUGGGAGAGGAUGGUAGAAUUCCAGGUGUAGCGGUGAAAUGCGUAGAGAUCUGGAGGAAUACCGAUGGCGAAGGCAGCCAUCUGGCCUAAUACUGACACUGAGGUGCGAAAGCAUGGGGAGCAAACA